This 468-nucleotide ribosomal RNA is filed under the name uncultured bacterium. Its description in RNAcentral is "partial 16S ribosomal RNA". It matches the Rfam family "Bacterial small subunit ribosomal RNA", at positions 28 to 507 of the family's 1533-position model. The record is from RNAcentral.
GACGAACGCUGGCGGCGUGCUUAACACAUGCAAGUCGAACGGAAAGGCCCUGCUUUUGUGGGGUGCUCGAGUGGCGAACGGGUGAGUAACACGUGAGUAACCUGCCCUUGACUUUGGGAUAACUUCAGGAAACUGGGGCUAAUACCGGAUAGUAGCUCCUGCUGCAUUGUGGGGGUUGGAAAGUUUCGGCGGUUGGGGAUGGACUCGCGGCUUGUCAGCUUGUUGGUGGGGUAGUGGCUUACCAAGGCUUUGACGGGUAGUCGGCCUGAGAGGGUGACCGGCGAGAUUGGGACUGAGAUACGGCGGAGAGUAGUAGGGGAGGCAGCAGCGGGGAAUAUUGAACCAUGGGCGGAAGCCGGAUGGAGAAACGCCGAGUGCGGGAUGACGGCAUUCGGGUUGGAAAACGCUUUCGCCUGUGACGAAGCGUGAGUGACGGUAAUGGGUAAAGAAGCACCGGCUAACUACGUG